AGAGUUUGAUCAUGGCUCAGGAUGAACGCUAGCGGGAGGCUUAACACAUGCAAGUCGAGGGGUAGAGGCAGCAAUGCCUUGAGACCGGCGCACGGGUGAGUAACGCGUAUGCAACCUGCCCUUUACAGGGGGAUAGCCCGGAGAAAUCCGGAUUAAUACCCCAUGGUAUUAUUUUCCUGCAUGGGGAGAUAAUUAAAGCUGAGGCGGUAAAGGAUGGGCAUGCGUGGCAUUAGCUAGUUGGCGGGGUAACGGCCCACCAAGGCGACGAUGCCUAGGGGUUCUGAGAGGAAGAUCCCCCACACUGGUACUGAGACACGGACCAGACUCCUACGGGAGGCAGCAGUGAGGAAUAUUGGUCAAUGGGCGCGAGCCUGAACCAGCCAUCCCGCGUGCAGGAAGAAUGCCCUAUGGGUUGUAAACUGCUUUUGCGCAUGAAGAACGGUACCCUCGUGAGGGUAUGUGACGGUAAUGCGUGAAUAAGCACCGGCUAACUCCGUGCCAGCAGCCGCGGUAAUACGUAGGGUGCAAGCGUUAAUCGGAAUUACUGGGCGUAAAGCGUGCGCAGGCGGUUUUGUAAGUCUGACGUGAAAUCCCCGGGCUUAACCUGGGAAUUGCGUUGGAGACUGCAAGGCUGGAGUCUGGCAGAGGGGGGUAGAAUUCCACGUGUAGCAGUGAAAUGCGUAGAGAUGUGGAGGAACACCGAUGGCGAAGGCAGCCCCCUGGGUCAAGACUGACGCUCAUGCACGAAAGCGUGGGGAGCAAACAGGAUUAGAUACCCUGGUAGUCCACGCCCUAAACGAUGUCUACUAGUUGUCGGGUCUUAAUUGACUUGGUAACGCAGCUAACGCGUGAAGUAGACCGCCUGGGGAGUACGGUCGCAAGAUUAAAACUCAAGGAUGACGG
This 903-nucleotide ribosomal RNA is filed under the name uncultured bacterium. Its description in RNAcentral is "bacterial SSU rRNA". It matches the Rfam family "Bacterial small subunit ribosomal RNA", at positions 8 to 916 of the family's 1533-position model. The record is from RNAcentral.